CUUUCUCGUUGGGGAACUACUUUUGAGCUGAUGAAAAGGAACAAUAGCAAGCAUGCUUGCGCGCUUGUUAACCCUUGGCGGUGAACACUUGAAUCUGCUUUUGUGACCUGCUCCAGCAAGUUCGAUCAGCUGCUAGUUUCAGAUGCAAUCAGCUUGCCCAAUAAUACGUGUUGUGAAGGAAACUUUGUGUCCUGCAAGAGGAGGCCAGGACUUGGACGGGAACGCGAACGUGGCAACGUCGCCCCGAAGUGAGCUCCCGGCUUCUGUGGACAGUAAGUUGCCUUAUCUUCCGGCUGAGCCGAGUGGGAACGGACGACGAGCCGGGCGAGUGACUGUGCUUUCCUUCCCCGCAGCGCGUCCCAUGGGAAGCAGGCUCUGCAGCGCUCUCACCAAGACCCUGGACGGCAGCGCCGCCUCCCAGCACCCAGAGUAUCUGGUGGCACCCGACCUGGAGCAUCUGGAGCCCAUUGAUCCUAAAGAGCUCCUUGAGGAGUGCAGGGCCGUCCUGCACACUCGGCCUCCCCGCUUCCAGCGGGGUUUCGUGGAUCUGCGGGCCGAUGGCCCCAGGAGUAGCCACACACCCAUCCGGGUCAUGCAGUGGAACAUCCUCGCCCAAGCUCUUGGAGAAGGCAAAGACAACUUUGUACAGUGCCCUCUUGAAGCACUCAAGUGGGAAGAAAGGAAAUGUCUCAUCCUGGAAGAAAUCCUAGCCUACCAGCCCGAUAUACUAUGCCUCCAAGAGGUGGACCACUACUUUGACACCUUCCACCCCCUCCUCAGUAGACUGGGCUAUCAGGGCACGUUUUUCCCCAAGCCCUGGUCCCCUUGUCUGGAUGUGGAACACAACAACGGGCCAGAUGGCUGUGCCUUGUUUUUUCUCCACAACCGAUUCAAGCUGGUCAACAGUGCCAACAUCAGGCUGACGGCCAUGGCGCUGAAAACCAACCAGGUGGCCAUUGCCCAGACCCUAGAGUGCAAGGAGUCCAGCCGACAGUUCUGCAUCGCCGUCACCCACCUCAAGGCUCGCACUGGCUGGGAGCGAUUUCGAUCGGCCCAAGGCUGUGACCUUCUCCAGAACCUGCAGAACAUCACCCAGGGAGCCAAGAUUCCCCUUAUCGUUUGUGGGGACUUCAACGCAGAGCCAACAGAGGAGGUCUACAGACACUUCGCAUCCUCCAGCCUCAACCUGAACAGCGCCUACAAGCUGCUGAGCGCGGACGGGCAGUCAGAACCUCCGUACACCACCUGGAAGAUCCGGACCUCGGGCGAGUGCCGGAACACCCUGGAUUAUAUCUGGUACUCCAAGCAUGCGCUCAGCGUGAGGUCGGCCCUGGGUCUGCUCACCGAGGAACAGAUUGGACCCAACCGGCUACCGUCCUUCAAUUACCCUUCAGACCACCUGUCCCUAGUGUGUGACUUUAGCUUUAACGAGGAACCUUGAUGGACAUUUAUAAAUGCUUGUCUGUGUCUCUUUAAUCACAAGUCUUAACCAGGGACGUUUCAGGAAGCUGAAAUAAGAUAAGAGGUUGACUGAGGAAGGCUCCCCAGUUCCUCUCACUUCACUUUCCGUGUUUCCAGCAUGCCCUUGGGAAGGAACCCCGUUUGCUCACGAACCUUUUCCAUUAAAACCUACAGCGAAGAAGGUGUUUGCACUCCAGUUUUGAGUCCUGAAUCAUAGGGAGGAAACACCAGUCAGAAGAGAAGAUGGGAAGCCGGACACGGGAUACCGCGACAUCUGCCUUAACGUUGGUAAACCUGAAGGGAACACCCGGCAAAAUUCUGCAACAUUUCACAGUUUACUUUGUGAGAAAGUAAGAUCAUUGCAUGGUGGGAUAGACUUAUUCAGACACUAACCUUGUUCUACCCCAAGCCCUGCCUUUUUUUGUUGUUUGUUUAUUUUUGGCUGCGUUGGGUCUUCGUUGCUGUGCGCGGGCUUUCUCUAGUUGCAGCAAGCAGGGGCUACUCUUUGUUGCGGUGUGCGGGCUUCUCAUUGCGGUGGCUUCUCUUGUUGCGGAGCACGGGCUCUAGGCGCGUGGACUUAAGUGGUUGUGGCAUGUGGGCUCAGUAGUUGUGGCACAUGGGCUCAGUAGUUGUGGCUCGCAGGCUCUAGAGCACAGGCUCAGUAGUUGUGGCACGUGGGCUCAGUAGUUGUGGCGCACGGGCUUAGUUUCUCCGUGGCAUGUGGGAUCUUCCUGGACCAGGGCUAGAACCUGUGUCCCCUGCGUUGGCAGGCAGAUUUUUUUUUUUUUUUGCGGUACGCGGGCCUCUCACUGUUCUGGCCUCUCCCAUUGCAGAGCACAGGCUCUGGACGCGCAGGCUCAGCGGCCAUGGCCCACGGGCCCAGCUGCUCCGCGGCAUGUGGGAUCCUCCCGGACCGGGGCACGAACCCGUGUCCCCUGCAUCGGCAGGCGGACUCUCAAACACUGCGCCACCAGGGAAGCCCCCCUGCCUUUUGUUGGAUGGGAGGGAAAGGAGGUUGAGGCCAGAGAAGAAGUUCUGAAUCUAGGUCUGCCACUGACAAGCUGAACUGAAACUGACGAGUCAAGUUUUUCCUGAACCUUAGUUUAUUUAUAAUAUAGGGAAUAGACCAGGAAAUCUCUUAAAACUGGUUUGCACUUCAAAACAAUUUGAGUUACUGCUGCCACCGCUCAAAAAUGUUUUUGAAACUUUGGGGAACAGCUUCCCUAUCCAGUUUUAUGAAGGUUUCAAGAAAAAAAAAAAAAUGUGAACUUCAGAGCCACAUUUCGUUUUGAAACAGAUAUGGCAGUACUAGCUUAAUUCGUGUCAGUUUCUUAACCUUAAGUGACUUGGCUAUUUCUAAAACUAAAAUCUUCCUCGGCAGGAAACCUGUCUGUAUUAAGCAUGUUUUAAAAUUUUAGGUUCUGCUCCAAUAAGCAAUUCAAAAGUAUUUUUUGAACGAUGGUAGCAUUGAUGGCAUUAAUAUAUAGCUUCCCGAAAGUAAUUUUUUUAAGGGACAAGGCACAUUAACACAGUGUACUGUUUCGUAAGACUUGAAAAGAUUCAUUCUAAUUAAAGAGAUAAUAAAUGUGAGAAAAAGGCUUUAGAAUCAAUAAAAUAUACAGUAUGUAGGUUUUUUAAAGGCCAUGUGUAAUAGUUAAUAGGUAUAUCUCAAACUACCUUUUUCUGUUGAACGUUUUAGAAAAGCUUAGAUUAAGACAGAUCUCUAAAUGUAAAACUUUCCUUACUGCAUCUGGAUGGCAGUGGUUCCCAAACCUGGCUGCGUGGUGAAAUCACACUGAAAUAUUUUUAAAAAUACUGACGCCCAGCUCCCAUUCCCACACAUUGUAAUUUUUUUUUAAUUAAUUUAUUUAUUUAUUUUUGGUUGCGUUGGGUCUUGGUUGAUGUGUGCAGGCUUUUCUCUAGUUACGGCGAGCGGGGGCUACUCUUCGUUGCGGUGUGCGGGCUUCUCAUUGCGGUGGCUUCUCUUGUUGCGGAGCACGGGCUCUAGGGGCGCAGGCUUCAGUAGUUGUAGCACGCAGGCGCCGUGGGUGUGGCGCGCGGGCUCUAGAGCGCAGGCUCAGUAGUUGUGGUGCACGGGCUUAGUUGCUCCGAGGCAUGUGGGAUCUUCCCGGACGAGGGCUCGAACCCGUGUCCCCUGCAUUGGCAGGCGGAUCCUUAACCACUGUGCCACCAGGGAAGCCCCACACAUUGUAAUUUAACUGGUAUGGGAUGUGACCUGCGCAACAGGAUUUUAAGAUCUUCCCAGGUGAUCUAAUGUGCAGCGAAGUUACUUAUGACAGUAUUUCAGUGAUUUCAUGUCCUACAAUCCAAAUAAUUUGCAGAUUCUGUAAAACAGUUUAGUAUCCACCUUUUACGACAGUAUCACGUCAUUACAAUCUUUUAGACAAAAUUUUCUAAAAGUUAAACAUACAAUGGGAUGGGAGGAAACGAUAUUCUGGGAGAAGACAACUCUGCUCUUAGUUUACAGUCUAUUUAUAGGUUGGUUUCGACAUGGAGUAUUUUGCAUUAAAUACUCAUGUUUUGUGUGUACGUCCUCACUUGGGAAGUUGUAAUAUGUCAUUUAUAAAUCCCGAACCCACAGCAUAACUGCUGAGGUGCAGUGUUAAAAAAGAUAAGUUACGGAUGCGUAAAAAGUGAAGUAGAUUCGUGUCCAAUCAAAUACGGCACACCUCAGAGAACACCCUCAGCUGAACUGGGGGUUCAGCUCCAGACCACCAGAAUGAGUAUCUCAAUAAAGCAAGACAUGAAUUUUUGGUGUCCCAGUGCACACAAAAGUGACGAUACUAUAGUCUACUAAGUGUGCGAUAACAUUAUGUCCCAAAAAAAGCAGUGUAUAUACCUUAAUUGAAAAAAACUUUAUUGCUAAAAAAGUCUCGCCACCAUCUGACCCUUCAGUAAGCGGUAAUCUUUUCUGGAGGGUUUGAAAUACCGUGAGCGUUACCAAAGACACAGACACGAAGUGAGCAAAUGCCGUUGGAAUAAGGGCGCCGAUAGACUUGCUUGACAGCAGUGUUGCCGCAGACCUUCAGUUUGUAUAAAACAAAGCACCUGCAGAGUGCAGCACAGUAAAAGGAAGUGUGCCAUGAGUCUCCCCGCUGCACUUGUUUUUCAGAGGUUUCUUGGUGUGAUGCAGGAGGCGAGUCAGUGCACUUGCAAAGGGGGAAGAGUAUCUUAUUCUCAUGAGGACUGGCGGCCUGUGCACCGAGUCCGCACAGAAUAGGUUACAACCGUGGAGGACCACGAUAUAACCAAGGGGCUGAAGGACGGAUGAACCACAACCACAAAGGAGCUGCACUGUGAACUUGCUGUGUUGGCUGUGGAACUAAAAGCAGGGUUCCUCUUGCCUCCCCAAAAUAUGCUCUGUAAUGCCCUCCCGUAAGAUAGACCAGGGGGCUUAAAGGAUCACGGGAUGCUUUGUACGUACAAGCCCAAAUUUUGUUUUCGUUAUCAUUAAACAUGACUUGUUCGUAUGCAGUGAUCAGAGACGCACUCUCUGAAGCAUGCCAGGUGUCAGAGGCGGCUGGCUGGUAACGAACCAGGUGCCGUUGUCCCUUACAUUCUGGUGUCACGGACAACGCCUUACUGGAACUGCCCCUCUCUUGUCACUGUAUCGAUGUUGGUGGCUUCUUAUUUGCUUGGCCCUUCCCGGUACACUUGACACUGUUGCCCACCCUUACCUUGACCUCAACUGUCCUGUUAACCACGAACAGCCCUUGGUCUCCACUGCUGGGUUACUCUUCCUCUCCCCCGGCCCUUGUCGUCUUUAUAUACUUGAGGCUUUUCAAUCUUUUGCUCAGAAUUCACUCAGAGUUAAGACCACGCCCCACCCUGAAUGGUUUCCAAGCCUAUUUAUUUCAGAAAUAUUUUGAUGUCUGUCACCUCCACCUCAAAUCUAGGUGAAGGAAGGGUGGUCCAGAGAGAAGCCAUCAGUGGCAUGGCCCAACGAGCAAGAGAUGCCGUGGAAGAAUGUAAAGCAGUCGCAAGGAAGUGAUGGAAGUACACAGUCUAGAAAGCUCUCAUCUGGCAGCACGGGAGACGGACUAGAGGGAAGCUUGAGGAGACAAAGCAGUAAGGUAGGGAGGAUGGGAAAGGAAGCUGUUUAGAAGGUACCAGCAACAGGACUUGGUAAAAGACUGGAUAUAGGAGGCAGAGGGUCUAGAAUGGCCUUCACGCAGUGUCAUUUGUUAAGCUAAGAGGAAUAGAUUUUUGAGAGAGGAAGUUCCAUUGGACACUCAGGAGGAAACAGCCGGCAGGGAAUUAAACCCAUCUAAGACUUUCAGUCUAGCCUAGAACAAUAGAUUUGGUAGUAAAAACCACAGGCGUGGAUGAGGUUAUCUAACAGUUAUGUUGAAGCAAAAUCGUAACAGUAAAUAUAACUACGAGGAAAAGAGCCCCGUGGUAAGUACGACCUUUAAAUGGGAAAGCUGAAGGAAAACCAAGUAGACGAAGAAAGGAGAGUUGGUCAGGCAGGGGGUAAACCAGAAGGGGGGGGGGGUGUCACGGGAAAUCGAAGGGGAAUUUUAAGAAGUAGGCUGAUCACAUGAAAACAUGAAGCAUCUGUUUGAUGUCACUGUUGGGUUGCUGGAGACCCCAGUGGGAACUGUUUCUAAGCAGAACUGACUGCAAGCUUCUGAAGAAUACGGGCUGUUGGAACAAGGCAACCAAGGAGGUGUGAAAGGGGAGAAGAUGGUGAGUACAGGAGGGGGAGGCACACCUGCCUCCUUCCCGAGACGGCCGUUUGUUAAGGAUGGAGGGUGGAAUACGUGGAUGCUCUUGCAGCAAGGGUCCCGAAACGGAGCUCACAGCUCAUGACCUCAGUGUUCUCUCUAAAGAGGUAUACCGGCCAUUCGGUAAGCAGGGUGGUGGCGAGAAGGCUGGGACCGCUGCUGGAAGACGACCCAAGGAAUAAACGGGCUGACUGCUGAUCACUGUCAGAAGCCUGGCCAGACUGGAAAAUGUAGCCGCAUCAAGUCAUUGUUACGUGCUUCUUCUCUGAUACACUGGACACAAAAAGCAAAUCCUCUAGGUGCAGAGGUUCUUAAAUUGAUGAAAGAACAGAAGAGAGUCCCGAGAAGAAGAUCAGAAGACAUAUGCCACCAGUGAGCCACCAGGUCAUCUCCAGGCUCCUACUCAAUAACCCUUCACUAUCCUCAAAUCCAGAUCCAAGUUCCGGGCUACGUGAGAAGGACCUUGAGGGUGGGAGGCUUCCCCAUCAAGCCACUGCUACUACUCAACCGAAACGCUGAUGUUUUUCUCCUCUAGCAUUUCACGUUCAUGCUGUAUUUCCCUGAAAAUUCAGUCAAUCCAUGAACCCAUAGCUGAGCCCCGUGUGCAUCUCUUGACUUUAAAAAAUUAACCUUCAGCUUCACAAUGUUAUUUGUAUCUUCAACUUUACUAUGUUACAUUUGUACAUCAGCAUCAAUACCGAAAAACUCUUAGUAUUAAACCGUGCAUAACUUUCAACUACGCCACUCAGUUGAAUCAAGAUAUGUAGCUGGGGCAUUUUCAUUUUAUGACCUAGAGAUUAUAAGGACUUAUUCUGGAAGAGAUUUUUGUACAACAGACAACGCCCUGCACGCAGUAGGGAUGUGGUGCUUCUGCGUCUACUGAGCUAGUCAGACUCACCAACAUUCUUUAGGUUCUCUCUAAAUGCUUCGCCCCAGUUCCCACCCCCAAGUUAAAAUUAGCGGUUCUAUUUCUCGUUUUAAGGAAAACAGAAUUUGAAAGGGAAGCCUUCUUUAUCAGACAAGGUAGUUCACUAAGUCUAUGCAGACAUUAUCAUCAUAAUUUUGCAGAAGAGGAAACACUGACUGGAUUUUUAAUCCAGGGGUGACUGUAAUCACUUUAAUCUUCACAUUUCAACAGGCCGCCUCAAGUUUAAUAAUACAAAACUGAAAUUUUAAUGAAAGGUGAUUUUGACUGGUAAAAAUCGGUUAUCACAAAAUUUUUUUCCAGUUUUAAACCUAAGGUCUUUGGGCUUCCCUGGUGGCGCAGUGGUCGAGAGUCCGCCUGCCGAUGCAAAGGACACGGGUUCGUGCCCCGGUCCGGGAGGAUCCCACAUGCCGCGGAGCGGCUGGGCCCGUGAGCCAUGGCCACUGAGCCUGCGCAUCCAGAGCCUGUGCUCCACAACGGGAGAGGCCCUCGUACCGCAAAAAAAAACCCAAAAUAUAAGGUCUCUGAAUACAAGAGACACCACUGAUGAUGGGAAUAAUUUUUUAAAAAGUAGUAACUGGGACUUCCCUGGUGGCACAGUGGUUAAGAAUCCGCCUGCCAAUGCAAGGGACACGGGUUCGAGCCCUGGUCCGGGAAGAUCCCACACGCCGCGGAGCAACAAAGCCCGUGCACCACAACUACUGAGCCUGCACUCUAGAGCCCGCGAGCCACAACUACUGAGGCCCGCACACCUAGAGCCGGUGCUCCGCAACAAGAGAAGCCACCGCAGUGAGAAGCCCGCGCACCGCAACUAGCGAAAGCCCGCGCACAGCAACGAAGACCCAACGCAGCCAGAAAUAAAUAAAAUAAAAUUGUUAGAAAAAGCUUUACCUACCGAUUGCAGAGGAUCUGAUAAUCUGCGAAGCCCUUUGAGCUCAAAUGAGGAAAAGUAAAAAAUAUUAUUUUAAACACUCUCUACUGCUCUGAGCCAAUCAAUUCACCAGAAUUUCAGCAUAAAUUUCCCCACCUCAACGUGCAG
RNA transcript from Physeter macrocephalus (sperm whale), 8173 nucleotides. It is a transcript of the gene named nocturnin, with no coding region annotated. The transcript is spliced from 7 exons. NCBI's taxonomy places the organism in Eukaryota, Metazoa, Chordata, Mammalia, Artiodactyla, Physeteridae. The record is from RefSeq and is a predicted model, not a curated record.